RNAcentral lists this long non-coding RNA (3517 nucleotides) under Capsella rubella. RNAcentral's name for it is "long non-coding RNA (CRUB_LNC002637)". The record is from RNAcentral. Lineage: Eukaryota; Viridiplantae; Streptophyta; Magnoliopsida; Brassicales; Brassicaceae.
UAGCAACGAAUAUACAUGAUGGACGUUCCAAUGGAAAGUUAGCACCUCAGUGGUUUCAGAAGAAGUAAAAGCAACAGAUUCGAGGUAGCCAAAGAACAGAACUCUGUAAUUUUUGUGAACCAAAACAAAGAGAUAGAACAUCAAUCUCUUUCCUACCAAGAACACUUUAUUCUGUUUUUUUUUUUCAAGAUUUUUUUUUUGGAAUUCCUUUUUUUUUGAGUUUUCCCUUUGGUUUUUUCACACCACCUGGAACCUCUUCAAUUUGAAACUCGAGAGAGAUAGUUUAUCACCUGAAAGAUUAGCUAGCAAGAGUUUUAAGCUUAAUAUAAGUAAAAGAUAGAAAUUCUGCUUCUUUGUACAGAGAAUCUGUUGCAGCACUUCUAAUCAAGCUGCACAUUAGUGUUCACAUAAACCGAUGGACUUUUUUAGAUGCAUAAAAGUGUCCAAAUCCAAGGGUUUAGUGAAGAUAUCAGCUAGCUGUUGUUCAGAAGUAACAUGGGUGAUUUCAACAGUUUUAUUUUCAACAAGAUCACGAAUGAAAUGGUGCCGUAUGUCAAUAUGCUUAAACGAGUAUGUUGAACUGGAUUCUUUGAAGUAUUGACGGCACAUGUGUUAUCAUAGUAGAUAGCAAAGGUUUCAGAAUCCAUACCAUAGUCACCUAGCAUAUGUUUCAUCCAUAGAAGUUGAGUACAGUAGCUUCUUAUUGCAAUAAACUCUGCUUCAGCAGUUGAUGGAGUCACACACGAUUGUUUCUUACUAUCCCAUGAAAUCAAAUUGUUCCCCAAAAAGAAACACCCACCAGAAGUACUCCUUCGAUCAUCUAGGUUUCCUGCCCAAUCUGAAUCACAAAAACCAACUAAAUUAUGAUUAGUUUGGUUAGUGUAAAAUAACCCUUUAUCAGUUGUACCUUUGACAUACUUCAGAAUCUGUUUGACUGCAUUUAAGUGAGAGAUGCUUUGGAUUCGCCUGGUAUCGAGAACACACACCAACACUGAAGCAGAGAUCAGAUCUACUUGCUGUCAAAUAUAGUAGACUUCCAAUCAUAGCUCUGUAGAGCUUCUCAUCAACUGAAUCUCCACUUUCAUCCUUUGAUAGCUUAGUGGUCAUGCUCAUUGGUGUUCUAGCAGUUUUGCUAGUUUGCAUCCCAAACCGUUGAAUAAGACUCUUUGCAUAUCUUCCUUGAAAGAUUGAAUUCUAUCUGCCGUCUGUUUUAUUUGAAAACCCAAGAAGUAGUUCAUCUCACCGACCAUGCUCAUUUCAAACUCUUGAGUCAUAGCUUUCACAAACAGGUUCACGAGAUGUUGGUGAGUGCUUCCACAGACUAUGUCAUCAACAUAGAUUUGCACAAUCAGCAUUUCUCUGUCCACUUGCGGAAUAAACAAGGUUUUGUCUACACUUCCUCUCUUGAACCCCAUCUCAAUUAGGAAUAAUGCCAUCUCAAUAGAGCGUUCUUGAGUUUGUAAACAUGAUCACGAAACUUUGGAUCCUUAAAACCAUUUGGCUGAGACACAAACACUUCUUCUUGAAUGUCCCCAUUUAGAAAUGCACUCUUCACAUUCAUCCGGUAGAGUUUGAUAUGAAAGAUGCAUGAAAUUCCACAGAGAAGACGAAUUGAUUCCACUCUUACAGGAUGUGCAAAUGUUUCAUCAAUUUUGUUCUUGAAAAUCAACUUGGUCCCCACAAUAUUCACAUUUCGAGGUCUUAGAACAAGAUCCCCAACAUCAUGAACUAGUUUAUUUCUUCAGGCACACACUAAACCAGAAUUCAUCUUCUAGAGCUGUUAAGAUGUCUUUAGGUUCUAUUGUUGACACAAAUCAAGAAUGUUGCAGCAUUUCCCUGAAGUUGAUUUGGACUCCUCUGGCGUUUCAAUAUCUUGAGAUUCUCCCUCAGACCUCUUCUUGUCAUCUAUAGCUUUAAGAGAACGUGUUAGGUUUGUGCCGACAGGAAUAGUAUCUUGAGCAGUUCUGAUUUGCAUUUUUGGAUCAGAUAGGACUAGGAUAGAUUCUACUUGGGUUUGGGGAUUUGUUCGAAUGGUGGAAAAGAAAGAUAAAGAAAUGAAGAGGGAAUGAGUUGAGUCUUUAGGAGAGUAAAAGUUUCAGAAAAUUUCAAAAGUUCUAGUGAAAGAUGUGUGGGAAUGCAAAGUAUAGAGAGAUGGUUAUGGUUUUAUAGGAAAGAAAGAAAAGAAUGAGAAUAGCAAAAAGCUUUGAUGUCUUAAGUAAUAGGAAGAAAGAGAACCAUAGUGAUUAUUAAGACAACCCCCUAUCCACUAGUUUAUCAUAAGAAACUCUCCUAAGACUUAGAAUAUGACCAUAUGGGAUACAAAGAGUUAAAAGGGUAGAAUAGGACCAUAUGGGUUUAGACAUUUAGGAUAUCACUUGGGACCUUUGGGUAGUCAAGAUGUUAUUCUGGUAUGCAUUUGUUGGUCCUUACCUUUAGCAUUCUCCCAAAAGCUCAAUCUUGUUCCUUGAGAGAUCCCUAUACUUAAACGUUUCAACCAUCUCUAAAGGACACCCUCUUUGUCUCUUGAACCUUUUCAUACCUAGCCAAAUGAGUUUGCAUUCACUUCACAUCCAGAUUCAUGGUUACUACUUAAAGAAUGUUAAAACAAAUGGUUGAUUCGAGGAAGGGGAGGCAUACGUGCUGACAUAGACGGAGUUGCAGCGGAAGAACAGCACCACGAACAUAUCCAGUUGACUUUUUUGGUACAGACCCCAUAGAACCAGCCAAAAGAGAGAAUUUGAAAUUAAAUAGGAGAGUGAGAGCUAAAGUAGAUCUGAUCUGUUUGAGUUCCAGGAAAGUGAAAGGUCCAGGCGCUUAAAGAGACGAAACUGGCGUGUUGAGCUUGCUUUCGUAGCUUGUAGGCGUGGUUCCCGAGAGACAAUUGUAAUACUCAACACACACAUUAAAACUACACUAGGCCAAAAAUAAAUUGCAGAUACUCAGCCCAUUAACAAUUCAUGGAAGCCUCAUGCCAAAAAAAACCCGAUAACACAUGUCCUAAUUUUACACAGAUCAUAAACUAAAAUUUUUGUUUCUCCCCUUUUUUUUGAAACAACAAUAUGAAUAUAAUUGACAGAGAGCACCCACUUAAUAGACACAGAACUUGAUGUAUAGAGAAACAAGUAAUUCACAGCACCGUUUCCAUCUAAGACAAACAAGCUAGACUGAGUAAUUUUAGCAACGAAUAUACAUGAUGGACGUUCCAAUGGAAAGUUAGCACCUAUGUGGUUUCAGAAGAACUAAAACCAACAGAUUCGAGGUAGCCAAAGAACAGAACUCUGUAAUUUUUGUGAACCAAAACAAAGAGAUAGAACAUCAAUCUCUUUCCUACCAAGAACACUUUAUUCUAUUUUUUUUUUCAAAAUUUUUUUUUUUUAAUUCCUUUUUUUUUUGAGUUUUCCCUCUGGUUUUUUCACACCACCUGGAACCUCUUCAAUUUGGAACUCGAGAGAGAUAGUUUAUCACCUGAAAGAUUAGCUAGCAAGAGUAUUAAGCUUAAUAUAAGUAAGAGAUAGAA